AUGCACGCUGGCGGCGUGCCUAAUACAUGCAAGUCGCGCGAACAGAUAAGGAGCUUGCUCCUUUGACGUUAGCGGCGGACGGGUGAGUAACACGUGGGUAACCUACCUAUAAGACUGGGAUAACUUCGGGAAACCGGAGCUAAUACCGGAUAAUAUUUCGAACCGCAUGGUUCGAUAGUGAAAGAUGGUUUUGCUAUCACUUAUAGAUGGACCCGCGCCGUAUUAGCUAGUUGGUAAGGUAACGGCUUACCAAGGCGACGAUACGUAGCCGACCUGAGAGGGUGAUCGGCCACACUGGAACUGAGACACGGUCCAGACUCCUACGGGAGGCAGCAGUAGGGAAUCUUCCGCAAUGGGCGAAAGCCUGACGGAGCAACGCCGCGUGAGUGAUGAAGGUCUUCGGAUCGUAAAACUCUGUUAUUAGGGAAGAACAUACGUGUAAGUAACUGUGCACGUCUUGACGGUACCUAAUCAGAAAGCCACGGCUAACUACGUG
Molecule: ribosomal RNA, 496 nt
Filed under: uncultured bacterium
Lineage: Bacteria
Description: partial 16S ribosomal RNA
Rfam family: Bacterial small subunit ribosomal RNA
Source: RNAcentral